RNAcentral lists this small nucleolar RNA (106 nucleotides) under Ricinus communis (castor bean). RNAcentral describes it as "Small nucleolar RNA Z103". It matches the Rfam family "Small nucleolar RNA Z103". From Rfam's summary of the family: This family consists of several snoRNA Z103 sequences which are members of the C/D class of snoRNA which contain the C (UGAUGA) and D (CUGA) box motifs. Lineage: Eukaryota; Viridiplantae; Streptophyta; Magnoliopsida; Malpighiales; Euphorbiaceae. The record is from Rfam by way of RNAcentral.
AUGAAAGUGAUGAUAUUUCCCCAGAUGAUUGACACUGAACAAACUGAGUGUUUUUAUUUCUCUUUUUCUUUAUUAAAAGAGAAUUCAAGCCAGGAAACUGAUCCAU